Molecule: unclassified non-coding RNA, 404 nt
Filed under: Hevea brasiliensis (rubber tree)
Lineage: Eukaryota; Viridiplantae; Streptophyta; Magnoliopsida; Malpighiales; Euphorbiaceae
Source: RNAcentral
AACAAGGAACUGAAGGCUUCUAACACCAUAAGAGAGCGAAGGGUAAUUCAAAGGAAGGCAGUCCUCAUGAAAGGAGGUGGAAAUGCUGAGGGCAUGAAAGGAGGUGGAAAUGCCGAGGCCAUUAGAGGAGGUGGAAAUUCUGCGGCCAUGAAUGGAGGUGGAUAUUCUGAGGCCAUGAAAGGAGGUGGAAAUGCUGAGGCCAUUGACCCAAUAGAGUUAAGGUGAAACUGCAGAGGCGAAAGAUCUUUAUCUUUAAUCCCAAGAACUUCGAAAAUUGUGUUCAUAUCUAACACCAGAUCAGAUCUUCGUUUGUCUCUCUUUGCAGCAUCAUGGAAGUUUAAGGUGUGAUUAAAAUAGAGAAUCACUUUCAUAUUAUCACCCUCAAUCUCCUUGAAUUGUAAGCU